GUUGUCUCUGAGUAAAGGUUCAACUAGAAAUGGCACAGCAGAGUUGUCUCAGUCACAACAACUUGCUUCUUCAGGAACAGACAAGACCUACGGGAGCAGUGGUGUUAGUACAAGGGGAUCUGCUUGUGGUCUUACAGGCUUGUUGAACCUUGGGAAUACUUGCUUCAUGAAUAGUGCCAUACAAUGUCUUGUUCACACUCCAGAAUUUGCUCGGUACUUUCGAGAAGAUUAUUAUCAGGAGAUAAAUCGGCAGAAUCCUCUGGGGAUGGUUGGUGAACUGGCUUUAGCAUUUGGUGAUUUGCUACGAAAAUUGUGGGCACCUGGGCGCACUCCAGUUGCCCCUCGUCCUUUUAAGGCAAAGCUUGCUCGCUUUGCCCCACAAUUUAGUGGAUACAACCAGCAUGACUCUCAGGAACUCCUUGCGUUUUUGUUGGAUGGAUUUCACGAAGACUUAAAUCGUGUUAAACACAAGCCUUACAUAAAAUCAAAAGAUGCAGAUGGCCG
This 504-nucleotide unclassified non-coding RNA is filed under the name Hevea brasiliensis (rubber tree). Lineage: Eukaryota; Viridiplantae; Streptophyta; Magnoliopsida; Malpighiales; Euphorbiaceae. The record is from RNAcentral.